GAUGAAGAACGUAGCGGAAUGCGAUAAGUAGUGUGAAUUGCAGAAUUCAGUGAAUCAUCGAAUCUUUGAACGCACAUUGCGCCCCUUGGUAUCCCGAGGGGCAUGCCUGUUCGAGCGUCAUUUCACCACUCAAGCCUGGCUUGGUGUUGGGCGACGUCCCCUUUAGGGACGCGCCUCGAAACGCUCGGCGGCGCGGCACCGGCUUUAAGCGUAGCAGAAUCUUUCGCUUUGGAAGUCGGGGCCCCGCCUGCCGGAAUACCUACUUGUAAGGUUGACCUCGGAUCAGGCAGGGAUACCCGCUGAACUUAAGCAUAUCAAUAAGCGGAGGA
Molecule: unclassified non-coding RNA, 329 nt
Filed under: soil metagenome
Description: partial contains 5.8S ribosomal RNA, internal transcribed spacer 2, and large subunit ribosomal RNA
Rfam family: 5.8S ribosomal RNA (bases 1-120)
Source: RNAcentral